GGGAGAGGCAGACCUGCAGGUGUAAAAUUGCACUAGUGGAUGAAAAGUGAAACUAACACACAGCAUGGGGGCAGUCAGACGUGUGCUUAGUGGCGCUUCAAUAAGAUUUUUAAGAGGGAAAGUCUCUGAGCACCUGCUCUGGACGGGACGCAGUGACGUGCCCCUAAGAGGAAAACUGAGAUGCCAACAAAGAUUGGACCCAAGCUCAGAAUCUAUAUGAAAGAAUAAGUGCUU
Molecule: non-coding RNA, 234 nt
Organism: Equus caballus (horse)
Lineage: Eukaryota; Metazoa; Chordata; Mammalia; Perissodactyla; Equidae
Source: RefSeq, a predicted model, not a curated record